CCUACGGGAGGCAGCAGUGGGAAAUCUUGCGCAAUGGGCGAAAGCCUGACGCAGCGCCGCCGCGUGAGGGAUGAAGGUCUUCGGAUCGUAAACCUCUGUCAGCAGGGAAGAACGGUCACUGUGCUAAUCAGCAGUGAAUUGACGGUACCUGCAAAGGAAGCACCGGCUAACUCCGUGCCAGCAGCCGCGGUAAUACGGAGGGUGCGAGCGUUAAUCGGAAUUACUGGGCGUAAAGCUCUCGUAAGCGGUAUGUCAAGUCAAGGGUGAACUCCCCGCGCUCAACGUGGGAACUGCCUUUGAAACUGGCAAACUGGAGUGUGUGAGAGGAUAGUGGAAUUCCAGGUGUAGGAGUGAACUCCGUAGAUAUCUGGAGGAACAUCAGUGGCGAAGGCGACUAUCUGGCACAUAACUGACGCUGAGGAGCGAAAGCGUGGGUAGCAAACAGGAUUAGAUACCCUGGUAGUC
Molecule: ribosomal RNA, 465 nt
Filed under: uncultured bacterium
Lineage: Bacteria
Description: partial 16S ribosomal RNA
Rfam family: Bacterial small subunit ribosomal RNA
Source: RNAcentral